RNAcentral lists this ribosomal RNA (497 nucleotides) under uncultured bacterium. RNAcentral describes it as "partial 16S ribosomal RNA". It matches the Rfam family "Bacterial small subunit ribosomal RNA", at positions 28 to 507 of the family's 1533-position model. The record is from RNAcentral.
GAUGAACGCUGGCGGCGUGCCUAACACAUGCAAGUCGAGCGAACAGACGAGGAGCUUGCUGCGCUGACGUUAGCGGCGGACGGGUGAGUAACCCGUGGAUAACCUACCCAUAUGACUGGGACAACUUCGGGAAACCGGGGCGAGUACCGGAUAAUAUAUUGAACCGCAUGGUUCAAUAGUGAAAGAUGGUUUUGCUGUCACUUCUAGAUGGUACCGCGCCGCUUUAGCUAGGGGGUAAGGUAACGGCUUACCACGGCAACGAUGCAUAGCCGACCUGAGAGAGGGUUCGGCGCCAGUGGGACUGAGACACCGUCCAGACUCCGACGGGAAGCAGGAGUAGGGAAUCAUCGGAAGUGGGAGUGAGCAUGUCGCAGCAACGCGGCAAGGGUGAAGAGGGUCAUGGGGUCUGAAAGCUCUGUUCUUAGGGAAGAACAACUGCGUAAGUAGGUGAACAAGUAUUGACGGUACCUAGUCAAAAAGCAACGGCUAACUACGUG